UUAUUAUAAGGAGUUCCCUGGUGGUCUAGUGGUUAGGAUUUGGCACUUUCACCACUGCAGCCCAAGUUCAGUUCCUGGAGUGGGAACUGAGAUCCCACAUCAAGCCACUGCACACCGUGACCAAAAAAUAAAAUAAAAUAAUAAAGUUAUUGUAAAAUAAUAACUAGGAGUUCUUUCUGAAGUGCAUUUGGAUUGGUGACAUCUCUGGAGCACACAGGUUUGAUCUCAGCCUGGCACAAUGGGUUAAAUGAUCCGGCAAUGCCACAGUCGCAGCUCGAUCUGAGUCCAGGCCUGGGAACUCUCUCUAGCCCAGGAACUCCAUAUGUCAUGGAGCAGCCAAAAAACAAAAAGAAAAAAAAAUAGUACCUAUAUUCCUUGUGCUAUAUAAAAAGAAACUCAUGGAUUGGAGAACAAACUCCUGGUUGCCAAGGAGGAGGAGGAGGGAGUGGGAUGGACUGGGAGUCGGAAGUUAAUAGAUGCAGACUAUUGCCUUUGGAGUGGAUAAACAAUGAGAUCCUGCUGUAUAGCACAGGGAACUAUAUCUAGUCACUUGUGAUGGAGCAUGAUGGAGGAUAAUGUGAGAAGAAGAAUAUGUGUAUGUAUAUAUAUGUAUGACUAGGUCAUUUUGCUAUACAGCAGAAAUUGACAGAACACUCAAGUUGACCCAGUCACACAUACAUAUAUACAUUCUUUUUUGUCACAUUAUCAUGCUCCAUAAUAAGUGACUAGAUAUUGUUCCCAGUGCAAAAGUGUCUAGUUUUGAUUCCAAUUUAUCUGUUUUUCUCUUUGGUUGCCUGUAUCUAACCACCACUUGAGACUCCUAACUCUCCCUUCACGCAACGCAGCAGCUAGAGGGAGCUUUUGAUCUUUAUGGUCCCCCCCCACCCCCCGCCCGCUACUCAAAACAGUCCCAUAUUGUCAUUCCUGCUAUGGCACAAUGGGAUCAACAGUGUCUGCAGUGGCAGGGACAUGGGUUUGAUCCCCCACCCAGCGCAGUGGGUUAAGGAUCUGGCACUGCUACAGCUGUGGCAUAGGUUGCGACUCCAGCUUGGAUUCAAUCCUUGGCCCCAGGGAGUUCCCGUCAUGGCUCGGUGGUUAACGAAUCUAAGAACCAUGAGGUUUUGGGUUCAAUCCCUGGCCUUGCUCAUGGGAUAAGAAUCUGGCAUUGUCACUGCAGAGGCCUGGAUAACCACUGUGGCACAGGUCCGAUCCCUGGCCCAGGAACUUCCACAAGCCGCAGGCAUGGCUAAAAAAAGAAGAAAAGAUUAAAAUGUAAAAAGAAAUAGAUAAAUAAGCACAGGAAAAUUGCUGGACAUCAUUAAUCAUUAAGAAAAGCCAAAUCAAAACCACAAUGAGGUACUACCUCACACCCAUUAGGAUAGCUAUCAUGAAAAAAAAAAAAAGAAAAUAACGAGCAUUGGCAAGGAGGCGGAAAGUUAGACAUCCCUAUUGAUGGGGAUGGCAAAUGAUACAGCCACUGGAAAACAGAGUGGCACUUCCUCAAAUAAUGAAGCAGAGACUUACCAAAGGGUCCAGCGAUUCCACUUCUGGGAUAUACCCAAAGGCACUGAGAGCAGGGACUUGGACAGAUAUUUGUACCCUUGUUCAGAGCAAUGUUAUUCACAAGAGCCAAAAGGUAAAAACAGCCCAAGUGCCUAUCAACAAAUAAACAAAAUGUGACUGCACAUACAAUGGAAUAUUAUUCAGCAUCAAAAAGGAAGGAAAGGAAUUCCCAUCAUGGCUCAGUGGUAACGAACCCGACUAGUAUCUAUGAGGAUGCAUGUUCGACCCCUGGCCCCACUCAGUGGGUUAAGGAUCCAGGGUUGCCAUGAGCUGUGGUGUAGGUCACACUUGUGGCUCAGAUCUGGCAUUGCUGUGGCUGUGGCGUAGACUGGCAGCUGCAGCUCCGAUUCAACCCCUAGCCUGGGAUCUUCCAUAUGCCACAGGUGUGGCUCUAAAAAGCAAAAAAACAAAACAAAACAAAAAACCAACCAAACAAAAAACAUACUCAAAAUAUUAUCAUUUCAAAAUGUAAUUAAUUUUUACAGUUAUCGAAAUGUUGUAUACUCUUUUUAUUAUACCCAGUUUUGAAGUUCAGUGUGUAUGCCACACAGCCUAUCUCAAUUUGGGCUAGCCACUUUUCAAGUGCACGUAUCUCCAUCAUAUUUGCAAAGAUCCAUGUCUCCCCUGCAACGCAUCUACAACACAUCUGCAAAUACAUCCAGAGUUUCAUCUGCAAAAGGCCCCACAGCUCUGGGGCCAACCCCUCAAUUUCAUCUCAGACAACCUCAGAGAAAUCACUGGCUCAAGGAACACAUGCUGAUUCCGAAUCGACAUCUGCAGGUUGAUUUGACCUGCAGAUCCCCUAUCUUCUUUGCAUUAAUUUGCAUAUCAUUCCUGUGUCCAUCUGAAGCACAGGGCAGGGCUUCAGAUAGUCAUCUCAAAGUCAGGAAGGCGGUGACCUGGGACUGGACUGGAGGCCCCUUCUUGCUUCCUCUCCAGCUCUCUGUCCUCUUCCUCGCUGCUCUCCUCUGCCUCCUCUUCCAGGAGGGCACCCAGUUCCUCCCGAAGCACUCCCAUCUCCAGUCCCAGGCUGCACAGUUGGCCCAGCAGCUGUGCAUCCACUCGGCGGAGGUUCCCCUGUGGGUGGGAAAGGGGAGUCAUGGGCAUCCCAACCCAGAGGGCAAGGGGUUAGUGUGUCCCCACCUCAAAACCUGGAUGGGAGCAGGUCUCAACUCAAGUCCCCACAAGGAUUCUUUGUCUGACCCAAGGGUUGCACUCACGGCAUAUGGAGGUUCCCAGGCUGGGGGUCGAAUCAGACCUGUAGCUGCCGGCCUACACCACAGCCACAGCAACGCUGGAUCCUUAACCCACUGAGCAAGGCCAGGGAUCAAACCCAAGUCCUCAUGGAUACUAGUCAGAUUCAUUUCCACUGAGCCAUGAUGGGAACCCCUGUCUGACCCAACUUUGAUCAGGAUCCUGAACCUUUUCCUAGACCCGACACUUCCUUGUAAAAUCCAGUUUUGGCAAGAACCUGCAGGGUCCUUGCCCCCCACCCUUCCCCAAGGGACAGCUGAUCCCCAGGCCAGCCUUCAGCAAGAAUCCUGCUAGGUUGGCUUAGCUAGAAUCCCCCCUUAACCCCUGAUGUUUCCUCCUAGGAAUCUUCUAUCCCCGACCUCUCCCUUGCUCCUUGGCUGUACAUUCCCACUUGCUCAGACUGCAUUCAGAGCAGAGUCUGAUCUUUCUCCUAUACUGCAAAAUCCCAUCACAGCAGUCUCCAUACUUGAUAGCCUUGCUGGUUUUUUUGUUUGUUUGUUUGUUUGUUUUCCCCCUUUUUUGGCCACCCCGCAGCAUAUGGAGUUCCUGGGCCAGGAAUGAGAUCCAAGCCACAGUUGCAACCAAUGGUACUGCAGCUAAACAACACCAGAUCAUUUAAUCCACUGAAGCAGGCCAGGGAUGGAGACACCGUCCAUCCCGUUGCACCACAGCAGGCACUCCUAGCCUUGCUCUCUUUAACACGUGUCAUAAUGUAACAUUUCUUUAGCAGUCCUGGCCCACAGCAAGCAGGCAGGACCCUCACUGUGUCCCUGGCCUCUAACUACCAUCCUGCUUCUGUCUCUGAUCUCUGC
RNAcentral lists this long non-coding RNA (3629 nucleotides) under Sus scrofa (pig). Its description in RNAcentral is "lncRNA (ENSSSCG00055008161.1)". Lineage: Eukaryota; Metazoa; Chordata; Mammalia; Artiodactyla; Suidae. The record is from RNAcentral.